Molecule: ribosomal RNA, 486 nt
Filed under: uncultured bacterium
Lineage: Bacteria
Description: partial 16S ribosomal RNA
Rfam family: Bacterial small subunit ribosomal RNA
Source: RNAcentral
AUUGAACGCUGGCGGCAUGCCUUACACAUGCAAGUCGAACGGCAGCACGGGUGCUUGCACCUGGUAGCGAGUGGCGAACGGGUGAGUAAUACAUCGGAACAUGUCCUGUAGUGGGGGAUAGCCCGGCGAAAGCCGGAUUAAUACCGCAUACGAUCUACGGAUGAAAGCGGGGGACCUUCGGGCCUCGCGCUAUAGGGUUGGCCGAUGGCUGAUUAGCUAGUUGGUGGGGUAAAGGCCUACCAAGGCGACGAUCAGUAGCUGGUCUGAGAGGACGACCAGCCACACUGGGACUGAGACACGGCCCAGACUCCUACGGGAGGCAGCAGUGGGGAAUUUUGGACAAUGGGCGAAAGCCUGAUCCAGCAAUGCCGCGUGUGUGAAGAAGGCCUUCGGGUUGUAAAGCACUUUUGUCCGGAAAGAAAUCCUUGGCUCUAAUACAGUCGGGGGAUGACGGUACCGGAAGAAUAAGCACCGGCUAACUACGUG